RNAcentral lists this ribosomal RNA (479 nucleotides) under uncultured Quadrisphaera sp. RNAcentral's name for it is "partial 16S ribosomal RNA". Lineage: Bacteria; Bacillati; Actinomycetota; Actinomycetes; Kineosporiales; Kineosporiaceae. The record is from RNAcentral.
CACGUAGUUAGCCGGUGCUUCUUCUGCAGGUACCGUCACUUGCGCUUCUUCCCUGCUGAAAGAGGUUUACAACCCGAAGGCCUUCAUCCCUCACGCGGCGUCGCUGCGUCAGGCUUCCGCCCAUUGCGCAAUAUUCCCCACUGCUGCCUCUCGUAGGAGUCUGGGCCGUGUCUCAGUCCCAGUGUGGCCGGUCACCCUCUCAGGCCGGCUACCCGUCGUCGCCUUGGUAGGCCAUCACCCCACCAACAAGCUGAUAGGCCGCGAGCCCAUCCCCGACCGAAAAACUUUCCACACCACCCCAUGCGAGGCGAUGUCAUAUCCGGUAUUAAUCCCGGUUUCCCGAGGCUAUCCCAGAGUCAGGGCAGGUUGCUCACGUGUUACUCACCCGUUCGCCGCUGAUCCCCCGAAGGGUUCACCGCUCGACUUGCAUGUGUUAAGCACGCCGCCAGCGUUCGUCCUGAGCCGAGGAUACAAACUCU